GUACACUCCUACGGGAGGCAGCAGUGGGGAAUUUUGGACAAUGGGCGAAAGCCUGAUCCAGCAAUGCCGCGUGAGUGAAGAAGGCCUUCGGGUUGUAAAGCUCUUUUGUCAGGGAAGAAACGGUGAAAGCUAAUAUCUUUUGCUAAUGACGGUACCUGAAGAAUAAGCACCGGCUAACUACGUGCCAGCAGCCGCGGUAAUACGUAGGGUGCAAGCGUUAAUCGGAAUUACUGGGCGUAAAGCGUGCGCAGGCGGUUUUGUAAGUCUGAUGUGAAAUCCCCGGGCUCAACCUGGGAAUUGCAUUGGAGACUGCAAGGCUAGAAUCUGGCAGAGGGGGGUAGAAUUCCACGUGUAGCAGUGAAAUGCGUAGAUAUGUGGAGGAACACCGAUGGCGAAGGCAGCCCCCUGGGUCAAGAUUGACGCUCAUGCACGAAAGCGUGGGGGGCAAACAGGAUUAGAUACCCGAGUAGUCCCAUGA
This 478-nucleotide ribosomal RNA is filed under the name uncultured organism. RNAcentral's name for it is "partial 16S ribosomal RNA". It matches the Rfam family "Bacterial small subunit ribosomal RNA", at positions 331 to 800 of the family's 1533-position model. The record is from RNAcentral.